This 67-nucleotide ribosomal RNA is filed under the name uncultured Gigasporaceae. RNAcentral's name for it is "partial 5.8S ribosomal RNA". It matches the Rfam family "5.8S ribosomal RNA", at positions 49 to 115 of the family's 154-position model. From Rfam's summary of the family: 5.8S ribosomal RNA (5.8S rRNA) is a component of the large subunit of the eukaryotic ribosome. It is transcribed by RNA polymerase I as part of the 45S precursor that also contains 18S and 28S rRNA. Functionally, it is thought that 5.8S rRNA may be involved in ribosome translocation. Lineage: Eukaryota; Fungi; Glomeromycota; Glomeromycetes; Diversisporales; Gigasporaceae. The record is from RNAcentral.
CGAAAUGCGAAAAGUAAUGUGAAUUGCAGAAUUCCGUGAAUCAUUAAAUCUUUGAACGCAAAUUGCA